RNAcentral lists this long non-coding RNA (331 nucleotides) under Populus tremula. Its description in RNAcentral is "long non-coding RNA (PTRE_LNC001518)". Lineage: Eukaryota; Viridiplantae; Streptophyta; Magnoliopsida; Malpighiales; Salicaceae. The record is from RNAcentral.
AGUCUUUCAAUCAAGCUAACAAAAGCGUAGAAUGGCGUGCAGCCAUACACGAUGAAUUCAACGCUCUUAUCUCCAACCGCACCUUGUCUCCAGUUCCAAAACCACCAUUAGCAAAUGUGGUAGGAAAUAAAUGGAUGGGUUUGGCAGAAUAAAGAGAGCGGAUGGCAGACUUAAACGAUUCAAAGGCUCGAUUGGAUGCAAGGGGUUUCAAAUAACAAUAAACUUCAAGGUGGCGGGCGGGUUUGGUGUUAAAGGUGAAAAAAUGGGUGGAAGAAGAUUUCUAGAAUUAAUUUAUUCCAUGACAAAUUUUUAAAACUAUUUUUUUACACAA